AUGUGCUUUCUUGGUAUCCUAAAUAUAAGAUUAAUACUUCAAGUUGCUGAGUUGAGAAAGAGAUGGUUGAAUCAAAAGAAUUCCUUUUUUGAAGUUCAAUUUUUAUCAGAGGACAAUAUGAAUAUUAUACCUUGUUCCAUUAAAACACUCAAGGGGUUAUACGAUAUAUCGGGUGUAGAAGUAGGCCAACACUUCUAUUGGCAAAUAGGAGGUUUCCAAAUUCAUGCCCAAGUACUCAUCACUUCUUGGGUCGUAAUUACUAUCUUGCUAGGUUCAGUUGUCAUAGCUGUUCGGAAUCCACAAACCAUCCCGACCGAC
This 318-nucleotide ribosomal RNA is filed under the name Triticum aestivum (bread wheat). RNAcentral describes it as "partial small subunit ribosomal RNA". The record is from RNAcentral. Lineage: Eukaryota; Viridiplantae; Streptophyta; Magnoliopsida; Poales; Poaceae.